GACGAACGCUGGCGGCGUGCUUAAUACAUGCAAGUCGAACGGAAAGGCCCGGCGUUUGUGGGGUGCUCGAUUGGCGAACACGGGAGUAACACGUGAGUAACCUGCCCUUGUCUUUGGGAUAACUUCAGGGAACUCGGGCGAAUACCGGAUAGGAGCUCCUGCUCCAUGGGGGGGGUUGGAAAGUUUCGGCGGUUGGGGAUGGACUCGCGGGUUAUCAGCUGGUUGGUGAGGUAGUGGCUUACCAAGGCUUUGACGGGUAGCCGGCCUGAGAGGGUGACCGGCCACCUUGGGACUGAGAUACGGACCAGAAUCCUACGGGAGGCAGCAGUGGGGAAUAUUGCACAAUGGGCGGAAGCCUGAUGCAGCAACGCCGCGUGCGGGAUGACGGCCUUCGGGUUGUAAACCGCUUUCGACUGUGACGAAGCGUGAGUGACGGUAAUGGGUAAAGAAGCACCGGCUAACUACGUG
This 468-nucleotide ribosomal RNA is filed under the name uncultured bacterium. Its description in RNAcentral is "partial 16S ribosomal RNA". It matches the Rfam family "Bacterial small subunit ribosomal RNA", at positions 28 to 507 of the family's 1533-position model. The record is from RNAcentral.